Molecule: ribosomal RNA, 883 nt
Filed under: Bacillus licheniformis
Lineage: Bacteria; Bacillati; Bacillota; Bacilli; Caryophanales; Bacillaceae
Description: bacterial SSU rRNA
Rfam family: Bacterial small subunit ribosomal RNA
Source: RNAcentral
UCGAGCGGACCGACGGGAGCUUGCUCCCUUAGGUCAGCGGCGGACGGGUGAGUAACACGUGGGUAACCUGCCUGUAAGACUGGGAUAACUCCGGGAAACCGGGGCUAAUACCGGAUGCUUGAUUGAACCGCAUGGUUCAAUCAUAAAAGGUGGCUUUUAGCUACCACUUGCAGAUGGACCCGCGGCGCAUUAGCUAGUUGGUGAGGUAACGGCUCACCAAGGCGACGAUGCGUAGCCGACCUGAGAGGGUGAUCGGCCACACUGGGACUGAGACACGGCCCAGACUCCUACGGGAGGCAGCAGUAGGGAAUCUUCCGCAAUGGACGAAAGUCUGACGGAGCAACGCCGCGUGAGUGAUGAAGGUUUUCGGAUCGUAAAACUCUGUUGUUAGGGAAGAACAAGUACCGUUCGAAUAGGGCGGUACCUUGACGGUACCUAACCAGAAAGCCACGGCUAACUACGUGCCAGCAGCCGCGGUAAUACGUAGGUGGCAAGCGUUGUCCGGAAUUAUUGGGCGUAAAGCGCGCGCAGGCGGUUUCUUAAGUCUGAUGUGAAAGCCCCCGGCUCAACCGGGGAGGGUCAUUGGAAACUGGGGAACUUGAGUGCAGAAGAGGAGAGUGGAAUUCCACGUGUAGCGGUGAAAUGCGUAGAGAUGUGGAGGAACACCAGUGGCGAAGGCGACUCUCUGGUCUGUAACUGACGCUGAGGCGCGAAAGCGUGGGGAGCGAACAGGAUUAGAUACCCUGGUAGUCCACGCCGUAAACGAUGAGUGCUAAGUGUUAGAGGGUUUCCGCCCUUUAGUGCUGCAGCAAACGCAUUAAGCACUCCCCCCGGGGGAGUACCGGCCCCAAGACUGAAACUCCAAAGGAAUUGACGGGGGGCC